GAUGAACGCUGGCGGCGUGCCUAAUACAUGCAAGUCGAGCGAAGGGACGAGAAGCUUGCUUCUCUGAUGUUAGCGGCGGACGGGUGAGUAACAAGUGGAUAACCUACCUAUAAGACUGGGAUAACUUCGGGAAACCGGAGCUAAUACCGGAUAAUAUUUUGAACCGCAGGGUUCAAAAGUGAAAGACGGUCUUGCUGUCACUUAUAGAUGGAUCCGCGCUGCAUUAGCUAGUUGGUAAGGUAACGGCUUACCAAGGCAACGAUGCAUAGCCGACCUGAGAGGGUGAUCCGCCACACUGGGACUGAGCCACGGUCCAGACUCCUACGGGAGGCAGCAGUAGGGACUCUUCCGCAAUGGGCGAAAGCCUGACGGAGCAACGCCGCGUGAGUGAUGAAGGUCUUCGGAUCGUAAAACUCUGUUAUUAUGGAAGAACAUAUGUGUAAGUAACUGUGCACAUCUUGACGGUACCUAAUCAGAAAGCCACGGCUAACUACGUG
This 497-nucleotide ribosomal RNA is filed under the name uncultured bacterium. Its description in RNAcentral is "partial 16S ribosomal RNA". It matches the Rfam family "Bacterial small subunit ribosomal RNA", at positions 28 to 507 of the family's 1533-position model. The record is from RNAcentral.